This 84-nucleotide transfer RNA is filed under the name Nanobdellati archaeon. RNAcentral's name for it is "DPANN group archaeon (hydrothermal vent metagenome) tRNA-Leu". It matches the Rfam family "tRNA". From Rfam's summary of the family: Transfer RNA (tRNA) molecules are approximately 80 nucleotides in length. Their secondary structure includes four short double-helical elements and three loops (D, anti-codon, and T loops). Further hydrogen bonds mediate the characteristic L-shaped molecular structure. tRNAs have two regions of fundamental functional importance: the anti-codon, which is responsible for specific mRNA codon recognition, and the 3' end, to which the tRNAs corresponding amino acid is attached (by aminoacyl-tRNA synthetases). tRNAs cope with the degeneracy of the genetic code in two manners: having more than one tRNA (with a specific anti-codon) for a particular amino acid; and 'wobble' base-pairing, i.e. permitting non-standard base-pairing at the 3rd anti-codon position. The record is from RNAcentral. Lineage: Archaea; Nanobdellati.
GCGGGGGUGCCGGAGUGGUCAAACGGGACAGGUUCAGGGCCUGUUGGCUUAGUGCCUACGAGGGUUCGAACCCCUUCCCCCGCA